RNAcentral lists this long non-coding RNA (4171 nucleotides) under Nicotiana tabacum (common tobacco). RNAcentral's name for it is "long non-coding RNA (NTAB_LNC001325)". Lineage: Eukaryota; Viridiplantae; Streptophyta; Magnoliopsida; Solanales; Solanaceae. The record is from RNAcentral.
UUUCUGCUAUAAUGACUAACUUUAGGGAAAUAUCAACGAUACUAUAUAAAAAGGGACAUCUGUUUUAUAAACUACACUGCCCUGCGUUCUAAGUUCUACAAUUCUCUGUUGUUUCAAAUGGAGAAUAUGAAUUUCAACUACUACUACUACUUAGCUGUCUUGCUAUGUUUCUUUGUCAUUUUAUUCAAAUACUUGCUUCAUCCCAGAAAACGUUUAGCACCUAGUCCUCUGUCUCUUCCAAUAAUUGGCCACCUUUACCUUAUCAAGAAUUCCCUACACGAGACCUUAACUUCCUUAUCUACAAAAUAUGGCCCUGUUUUGUAUCUCCGGUUCGGCUGUAGAAAUUUGCCCCAAACACCUAGGAUGAUAUUCUUCCUUGGCCUACUGGCCGACUUCCUAGGUUCCGGAUCCUCUAAGGUCGAGAUCUUUUUCCUCUUUUUGUCCUUCGCCGCUUUCGGUACCGGGAACGAAGUCUACUUCUCACCGGAUAAGGGCCUCAUAACGGCAUCUUUGCCAAGGCCUUUAUAAAUAGAAAAUAAGUAAGAAACAGUUUAUAAAGUCAACAAAGACAUGGGAAUUAAGCUUACCAUGUGUUUUGGCCUCACAUUGGCCCUUUGAUAAAUCGCGCCACAAGCGCUCGACAUAUGUAGAGGUCGAAGUCAGGUCCCGUACCCAGCUCUUAAGGUUAGGAACUGCACCGGGCAUCCAAGCAACCGUUAUAUCAUGGAAAAGGAUAUCGGUGAGAGAGAAACGAAGGAGCAAGACAAUGGGAGCUAACAGUAGGAUUAUACUUACGCUUCAUAUUUCAUUCCUUGGGAAAUGGCAUCUUCUCGGCCGGGAUUAGGUCGGAAGUCUUCACUCGAACGAACCGGCCCAUCCAGCCUCAGUCCUUGUCCUCGACUAUACUCGAGAACAACACUUUGGUAGCCCGGCGCUGGAGUUUUAUUAACCCACCUCGGUAUAGGCGGGGGUUGUACAACCUGAUGAGGUGGUCGAGGGCGAUGGGAAUCCCCUCGAUUUUGUUUACAAAGAAGCGGAUCAGGAUAACGAUUCGCUAAAAAGAAUGAUGGAUUUAGCCUAGGAUUACCCGGUAUUGGCGUUAAAAAUCAAUGACAACAGGGUCGAGGGGGCCCAAUGUGAAAGGGCAAGUAUAAACACUUAAAAACCCUUUCACAUAAGUAGUAAUAUCUUCUUCGGGAGCCGAGAUUAUCACUUUUUUUCUCCAGUGGCAAUCUUUCCUUACCUGUUUAAGAUAUCCCUCAGUUAUCGAGAACAUAUACCUCGAUACUGGUUCGCAUAGGCCAGGAAUCGACGAGGCUUUAUCGGUCUUAAAAUUAGAAGUAAGAACACCCCCCUCCCCCCACGGGAACACAUUCCUUAGAUCGUGGCUCCACCGGUAUUUUGUUGCCGGCGGGCCGUGAAGAAGAAGCGUUUUCUUUUUUAGGAAUAUUUUUUGACGUUUUUGCUAUUUGGAUUUGAAGAUUGAAAAUAGAGGGAGAUGACACGAUUUGAUGUUCAAAAGAGAGAUUUUAUAGUGAAAAUCACAGAUUCGCAGAUGGAAAACUUAGAAAAUGCGAAAAGGAUCUUAGAAGAUUUGGAGAUUGGAGAUCUAAAAGUAAAAAAUGAUAAAUAGAGGAGCUAUUUAUAGAGUUGGCAAUGACGGUUCAAUAUCAGUAGUGGUCGACCAUCAUCUGACACGCAUUUAAUGCUUUGGUAACUGAACUGACGGGACAUCUAUUACGUACAUCAUGGUCGGGCUCGAUGCAAACGUCAGUAUAUAUCUAGUCAUGCCGUUGGAAAAUCAUGUCGUUUCUCGCCACAUCCUUCCCGAGAAACGAAGGGACUAUCUGUGUAUGGUCAAAACCGAUUUCGACCUUCGUAUGAUUAGUCAAGAUUGGAACAUAAUGGACCGACAUACGUCUUCAUAAUAUCGAGAUGAGAUCUGAAGCCAGGAGACCGAGCUCAAGUUUCAAGGACCGAUCAAAUACCGAGCUCGAAGUCAUUAUCGAGCUCGGGUUCAAAUCGAACUAUGACGAGAAGUGAUGUUAUCGAGCUCAAGAGCCAGAGUCCGAUCAAUACCGAACCUCGAGUCAAUAUCGAAAUCUAAUUCUGAAGAUCGACCAAUACCAAGUCCGAUCAAGAUCGAGCUAAGAGACAAGAGCCGUUAUAGCCGCACUAAGGGAGAAAAUCUCGGUGGCAAUUAAGGAAAAGCCAAUUAACUAAUCCAUCAUGGGAUCCCCACUAUAUAUUUUUUAUAUCUAAAAUAGGGUUUUCUCCACUAUAAGAAGAAUGACUAUCAUUUCUGUAAGGAAAAAAAGACAUCUACACACUCCCAUAUUGAAAAGAUUAUUGGUAUCCAUAUAAAGAUUAUCCUUUUUCUGGCUUUGGGCAUUAAUUCGUCUUGCUUGUUCAUAAAUCGUUUUCCACUCAAUCUGGUUUGCAUUUCAUUUUUUUUACAGUCAAUAUUCGAUAUAUUUCUACUUACUUUUCCGAUUUGUGCCAAGUUAUAUCACGUAUCCUUAGAGUUACGUAUAUAUUCAAUUCUAUCCGUUUUUCGGGUAAACAAUUACAGAAAACAAAUGUUUAUAUAAUAAAAUUAAUAGUUAGAAUAAAUUAAACUAACAAAAAUCAAACAUUCAACUCACAUUAAGAAAUUAACCUAGCAUUAUGACAUCACAAUAUCAGACUAACAUAACACAAUCAUUUAUUUUAUUUAAUUAAACUAACACUCUAAUCAAAUUAAUACUUAUACUCCUAGUAAUUAAAGUAACCAGCCGCGGUAGCUAACAUUGACUACAUAAAUCAAAGACUAAUUAUAUAAUAUCAUUAUUAGGUUAAAAAAGUGAUCUACAGGAAGCUAACCGGUCGCUGACCAUCCACGGUUAGCUAACAUUUACUACAUAGUUCAAGAGGUUAAUUGCUAUACAUUAUAUAUAAUCCACAGAAAUAUCCUCGCAUGUAAUAAUCAUUUUUUUGUAGUGUGCAGUACCCAAAAUUAUUUAUCACAAUUAUAAAUUUCACGAUCGCUUUAUUUUACUUUGAAGCCAUCAUUAUUUUAAUCAAGAUAUAAUGAUUCUUUUCAUUGUUUUUUAUUGCUAUUAUUGGUGUUGAUGAUAUAUCUGCUACUGAAGGAGAGUCUUGGCGUAACUGAUAAAGUUACAGCCAUGUUACUAGCAGGUCACGGGUUCAAGUCGUGGAAACAGCAUCUUGCAGAAAUGUAGAGUAAGGCUGCGUGUGGUCCGGACCUUCCCCGGAUCUCGCGCAUAACGGGAGCUUAGUGCACGGGCUGCCCCUGAUAUAUUUGCUACUGUUGUUGCUAUAAUUGUUGCAGGAAAUGAAAUGAACAAAGAGAACUAAGAGAAGUUUUGUGGUCAGGAUAAGAAAUGAAAGGGAUUGAUAGAAUAUGCAUCAUACAAUUGCUGUCUGGAUUACUAGAUUUUGUCAAUUACUUAAAUUCGUCAGCUCUUACGAAAUUGUCUCCAUACAUGGGCCACUGAUUUCUGCUAUAAUGACUAACUUUAGGGCAAUAUCAACAAUACUAUAUAAAAAGGGACAUCUGUUUUAUAAACUACACUGCCCUGAGUUCUAAGUUCUACAAUUCUCUGUUGUUUCAAAUGGAGAAUCUGAAUUUCAACUACUACUACUACUUAGCUGUCUUGCUAUGUUUCUUUGUCAUUUUAUUCAAAUACUUGCUUCAUCCCAGAAAACGUUUAGCACCUAGUCCUCUGUCUCUUCCAAUAAUUGGCCACCUUUACCUUAUCAAGAAUUCCCUACACGAGACCUUAACUUCCUUAUCUACAAAAUAUGGCCCUGUUUUGUAUCUCCGGUUCGGCUGUAGAAAUUUGCUUGUUGUGUCUUCUCCAUCUGCGGUAGAAGAAUGCUUCACCAAAAACGAUAUCAUAUUUGCAAAUCGCCCUCAGAGCAUGGCUGGAGAUCAGUUUUCCUUCAACUAUAAGGCUGUUGUCUGGGCUCCUUACGGCUAUCUUUGGAGGGCUCUCCGCCGUCUAACUGUGAUCGAGAUCUUCUCUUCCAAUAGCCUUCAAAAAUCUUCUGCACUGCGGAAUGAAGAAAUUGGAAUUCUUAUUCGCUCUUUGUUUAAGGCCAGCACUGGUAGUGGGAGCAAAAGAGUUAACUUGAGUCAUUGGGUUUUUACUUUUGCGGUCAAUGUUAU